UUUUCAGUUGUGUCGGGCAGGAUAGACCACAAGGAUGCCUCUGAUGACACUGAUCCGAGCCUUUAAAAUGUAAGCAGAAAUGCCAGUUAAGCCAUCUUAAGUCUCUAUCCUUAACCCAUCCCAUCAUCCUUAAAGAUUGCUGCAUGUGAUCCCAAUGUCAGUCCUUAAAAAGAAAACUCAAGAGCAGAGAUGAACCCCGGCAUACCUGUGUUUGAGGACCUAUAAAAGAAAUACAUCCUGGAAAGCUAGAAAAUGGAAACCCUGCUUAUAUCCCUAUAGCCAAGAAUUCUGCCCCAAAACACAUGUAUUACUCAUGCUGUUAACAUGCUUAUCAAACCAAAAGAGGUUGAAGAUAGAAGGUUUAAUUAUGAAACUUUUAACUUUUCAAAAAAUAUUCUUUUGGAAGAGAAAAAUUUCUAUAAAUAGCCUUUUCUGUUUUAAAGUUACACUGUACCUCUGGCAAUGUUUCCUGAAACAAUUUCAGCCCAGAGCCAGCUAAUGGCUUGGGAUCAUUUCUAUAGAUCUUGGUUUGCCUUUUUGUAUGUGUGUGGCCUUCAGGGAUGUUACAGUUUGCUGUUUAGUAAAUUGACUCACAGUUUGAAAGCAUUCUUUUGUCAUUAAACACACAUGAAAAGGGGGACUCUCUCCAGGCAGAAUGCACCAUCAGAUUGAAUGGACAAAAACUUGGAACCACCAUCAGUAUUAAGAAUCCUGGACUCAUCAUCUUCAAUCUGCUCAACUUAAAAAAAAAAAAAAAUCAGAGUCAGGUUUACUGUGGCUCAUCUUUCUGUUGCAUCAUUGAUUUAGAAAUGUUGCCAAGUACAUGUAAAUACGAAAUAAAAUGAACUUGG
Molecule: long non-coding RNA, 851 nt
Filed under: Vulpes vulpes (red fox)
Lineage: Eukaryota; Metazoa; Chordata; Mammalia; Carnivora; Canidae
Description: lncRNA (ENSVVUG00000018398.1)
Source: RNAcentral